This 235-nucleotide ribosomal RNA is filed under the name uncultured bacterium. Its description in RNAcentral is "partial 16S ribosomal RNA". It matches the Rfam family "Bacterial small subunit ribosomal RNA", at positions 118 to 351 of the family's 1533-position model. The record is from RNAcentral.
UGAGUAACCUGCCCUUAACUCUGGGAUAAGCCUGGGAAACUGGGUCUAAUACCGGAUAUGACUCCUCAUCGCAUGGUGGGGGGUGGAAAGCUUUUUGUGGUUUUGGAUGGACUCGCGGCCUAUCAGCUUGUUGGUGAGGCAAUGGCUCACCAAGGCGACGACGGGUAGCCGGCCUGAGGAGGGUGACCGGCCACACUGGGACUGAGACACGGCCCAGACCUCCUACGGGAGGCAG